This 497-nucleotide ribosomal RNA is filed under the name uncultured bacterium. Its description in RNAcentral is "partial 16S ribosomal RNA". It matches the Rfam family "Bacterial small subunit ribosomal RNA", at positions 28 to 507 of the family's 1533-position model. The record is from RNAcentral.
GAUGAACGCUGGCGGCGUGCCUAAUACAUGCAAGUCGAGCGAACGGACGAGAAGCUUGCUUCUCUGAUGUUAGCGGCGGACGGGUGAGUAACACGUGGAUAACCUACCUAUAAGACUGGGAUAACUUCGGGAAACCGGAGCUAAUACCGUAUGAUAUUUUGAACCGCAUGGUUCAAAAGUGAAAGACGGUCUUGCUGUCACUUAUAGAUGGAUCCGCGCUGCAUUAGCUAGUUGGUAAGGUAACGGCUUACCAAGGCAACGAUGCAUAGCCGACCUGAGAGGGGGAUCGGCCACACUGGAACGGAGACACGGUCCAGACUCCUACGGGAGGCAGCAGUAGGGAAUCUUCCGCAAUGGGCGAAAGCCUGACGGAGCAACGCCGCGUGAGUGAUGAAGGUCUUCGGAUCGUAAAACUCUGUUAUUAGGGAAGAACAUAUUUGUAAGGAACUGUGCACAUCUUGACGGUACCUAAUCAGAAAGCCACGGCUAACUACGUG